This 765-nucleotide long non-coding RNA is filed under the name Gossypium barbadense (sea-island cotton). RNAcentral describes it as "long non-coding RNA (GBAR_LNC004798)". Lineage: Eukaryota; Viridiplantae; Streptophyta; Magnoliopsida; Malvales; Malvaceae. The record is from RNAcentral.
AAAUAAUGCAGGUGAUCGUGGUAGAGGACGUGGACGUGGGUGUAGUAGAAGUCAAAGUUGGGGUGGCAAGGAAGAGAGUGGUAGUGGUGGUAAUGAUGGAGCUUGGAAUUCCAGUAGAAACGAUGCAGGUGGUCGUGGUAGAGGACGUGGACGUGGGUGUAGUAGAAGUCACAGUUGGGGUGGCAAGGAAGAGAGUGGUAGUGGUAGUAAUGAUGGAGCUUGGAAUUCCAGUGGAAACUAUGCAGGUGGAUAUGGCCACAAUGGAGGACGUAGUUAUGGUGGUAGGAACGGCAAUUGGGACGGUGUCAGGAGAGGUCGGAGUGGAAGCGCAAGACGUGGGCGUGGUAAUGAGAGGGAAAGUGAAUUCUGCCCCAAGUCCUUCAACUGGUGUAGCAGCAAUGAGAUUAGGAAGUGGAACCACGAUGCAAAAAUGAACUUCCCUGGUGAUACUAAAGGAAGUUGGGGCCAUGACAAUGUCACUAAUGAUGGAGAUGGGUCUUGUGGUAACGUAUGGAAUAGUAAUGCCAGUAGAGGCGGAAAUAGCUGUUGGGGUCGCCAUGUUCCUGGAAAUCAAGGCGGUUGGAGUUCUGGUGGUGGCAACGGCUGGUAAAAAAUGUUAUCUUAAACCCAGGCUUAAAAAAAACAUUAGAAUAUAUUAAAGUUAAAAUGUUAAAUCAGUUUCUUGGUUAGUUGGUAGAUGGAUGCUUACUUCUAUCAAACUACAAAAAAAAAUCUGGAUGAACUCAUCAUAUUAAUGAAAAUUGG